CUGUUGGGCAUUUUGAUGUCUAAUGUCUUGAGUUUUUUAUAUAUUCUGGAUAUCAGUCCUCUGUCAGAUGUGGGGUUGGUGAAGACCUUUUCCCAUUCUGUAGGCUGUCACUUUGCCUUGUUGACCGCAUCCUUUGCUCUACAAAAGGUUUUCAGUUUCAGG
Molecule: non-coding RNA, 162 nt
Organism: Peromyscus maniculatus bairdii (prairie deer mouse)
Lineage: Eukaryota; Metazoa; Chordata; Mammalia; Rodentia; Cricetidae
Source: RefSeq, a predicted model, not a curated record